RNAcentral lists this ribosomal RNA (460 nucleotides) under uncultured bacterium. Its description in RNAcentral is "partial 16S ribosomal RNA". It matches the Rfam family "Bacterial small subunit ribosomal RNA", at positions 338 to 795 of the family's 1533-position model. The record is from RNAcentral.
CCUACGGGUGGCUGCAGUGAGGAAUAUUGGUCAAUGGUCGAGAGUCUGAACCAGCCAAGUAGCGUGCAGGAUGACUGCCCUCUGGGUUGUAAACUUCUUUUAUGUGGGCAUCAAAUGUUUCACGUGUGGUAUUUUGUAUGUACCACAUGAAUAAGGAUCGGCUAAUUCCGUGCCAGCAGCCGCGUUAAUACGGAGGAUCCGAGCGUUAUCCGGAUUUAUUGGGUUUAAAGGGAGCGUAGGUGGAUUGUUAAGUCAGCUGUGAAAGGGUGAGGCUCAACCGUAAAAUUGCAGUUGAAACUGGCAGUAUUGAGUACAGUAGAGGUUGGCGGAAUUCGUGGUGUAGCGGUGAAAUGCUUAGAUAUCACGAAGAACUCCGAUUGCGAAGGCAGCUCACGGGACUGCAACUGACACUGAGGCUCGAAGGCGUGGGUAUCAAACAGGAUUAGAUACCCUAGUAGUC